Molecule: ribosomal RNA, 701 nt
Filed under: Pleurotus cystidiosus
Lineage: Eukaryota; Fungi; Basidiomycota; Agaricomycetes; Agaricales; Pleurotaceae
Description: partial small subunit ribosomal RNA
Rfam family: Bacterial small subunit ribosomal RNA
Source: RNAcentral
AUUAGUCAAUGCUCGAAAGAGUGAACUAGCUAACUGAAAUCACAUGACUCAUUCUUAUAGGUGGUGAUUGUGAUAAGGUGUAGGGAAAAAAAUGAUAUUACCUCACUAAAAGUGUUGUCCAAAUCUGGUGCCAGAAGACUCGGUAAGGCCAGAAACGCAAACGUUAGUCAUCUUAAUCAGGCGUAAAGGGUAUGUAGGCAGCUUUAAAGUUUUAUUUUCUCAUCUCCCUCCUCCCACCUAACAGCAUGCUGACCCAUCUCCCACCUUUUGGUGCUUUCAUCAAUGAUGGGAUGAUUGGUGCUUGGUGCUUGGUGAAUGAUGGAAGAUAGCUCUUUUUUUUAAUUAAAUAGUAAAAAUAGUAAAAAUAAAAUUAAUUAAAGCUAGAAUCAAAUAGAGGAAAAACCAAAUAAUACUUAGAGUAGGGAUGAUAUCCAUAGAUACUAAGGGGAAUACUAAGGGCGAAAGCUUUUUUUCUACUAAUGAUUGACGCUGAGAAACGAAGGUGAGAAUAGGAAAUAGGAUUAGAUACCCAGAUACCUCUCACUGUCAACGAUGAAUGGUGGUUGUUAGUUUUAAUAAAAACUGGUGACGAUGUUAACACGAUAACCAUUCCGCCUUGCGAGUACGGUUGCAAAACUGAAANCAAAAAAAUUAGUCGGUCUCGAAGCAAACGAAGUGAAGCAUGUUAUUUAAUUCGAUAA